Molecule: ribosomal RNA, 373 nt
Filed under: uncultured organism
Description: partial 16S ribosomal RNA
Rfam family: Bacterial small subunit ribosomal RNA
Source: RNAcentral
GUAGGUGGCAAGCGUUGUCCGGAAUUAUUGGGCGUAAAGCGCGCGCAGGUGGUUCUUUAAGUCUGAUGUGAAAGCCCCCGGGCUCAACCGGGGAGGGUCAUUGGAAACUGGGGAACUUGAGUGCAGGAGAGGAAAGUGGAAUUCCACGUGUAGCGGUGAAAUGCGUAGAUAUGUGGAGGAACACCAGUGGCGAAGGCGACUUUCUGGCCUGUUACUGACACUGAGGCGCGAAAGCGUGGGGAGCAAACAGGAUUAGAUACCCUGGUAGUCCACGCCGUAAACGAUGAGUGCUAAGUGUUGGGGGGUUUCCGCCCCUCAGUGCUGCAGCUAACGCAUUAAGCACUCCGCCUGGGGAGUACGGUCGCAAAGACUG